This 138-nucleotide long non-coding RNA is filed under the name Carassius auratus (goldfish). Its description in RNAcentral is "lncRNA (ENSCARG00000055811.1)". Lineage: Eukaryota; Metazoa; Chordata; Actinopteri; Cypriniformes; Cyprinidae. The record is from RNAcentral.
GAGUGUAAUAUGCUUGAUUAUGUUUGAUCAUUAGUCAAAAAGAAGGCUGCACCAACACCGAAAGUCAAUCAAGCCACUGAAGAAGUUGUGGAUCUGAAAGCAGAGGAAAAUGUCACGGAGGGGAAAAAGCCAGGUAAA